UACUCGAGUGGCGAACGGGUGAGUAACACGUGGGUGAUCUGCCCGGCACUUCGGGAUAAGCUUGGGAAACUGGGUCUAAUACCGGAUAGGAGCCAUCUUUAGUGUGGUGGUUGGAAAGUUUUUUCGGUGUAGGAUGAGCUCGCGGCCUAUCAGCUUGUUGGUGGGGUAAUGGCCUACCAAGGCGGCGACGGGUAGCCGGCCUGAGAGGGUGUACGGCCACAUUGGGACUGAGAUACGGCCCAG
This 243-nucleotide ribosomal RNA is filed under the name uncultured Actinomycetales bacterium. RNAcentral describes it as "partial 16S ribosomal RNA". It matches the Rfam family "Bacterial small subunit ribosomal RNA", at positions 88 to 334 of the family's 1533-position model. Lineage: Bacteria; Bacillati; Actinomycetota; Actinomycetes; Actinomycetales. The record is from RNAcentral.